This 467-nucleotide ribosomal RNA is filed under the name uncultured bacterium. Its description in RNAcentral is "partial 16S ribosomal RNA". It matches the Rfam family "Bacterial small subunit ribosomal RNA", at positions 28 to 507 of the family's 1533-position model. The record is from RNAcentral.
GACGAACGCUGGCGGCGUGCUUAACACAUGCAAGUCGAACGGGAAGUCCUCUUUCGUGGGGUACUCGAGUGGCGAACGGGUGAGUAACACGGGAGUAACCUGCCAUUAACGUUGGGAUAACUGCAGGAAACUUGGGCGAAUACCGGAUAGGGGCUCCUACGUCGUGGAGGGGGGUGGAAAGUGUGGGCGGUUGGGGAUGGGCUCACGGCAUAUCAGCUUGUUGUUGGGGUAGUGAGUUACCAAGGCGUUGACGGUGAGCCGGCGUGCGAGGGGGAGCGGCCACCAUGGGGCUGAGGAGCGGCCCAGACUCCUACGGGAGGGAGCAGUGGGGAAUAUUGCUCAAUGGGUGGAAGCCUGAUGCAGCAGCGCCGUGUGCGGGAUGACGGACUUCGCGUUGUAAUCCGCAUUCGCUCAUGCCGAAGCUUUGUGUGACGGUAGUGGGUAAAGAAGCACCGGCUAACUCCGUG